AAUAAACCAAUCUUUUACCUUUUACCUAUAAUGUUUGACUCUUCGUCUUAUUUAAUUUUUUUAGAUUAACAUUUUUGUUUUCAUUAGAUGAUAAAUUAUGAAUAGUAUUUUACGUGUAACUAACAUUUUUCCAAUUUCUUGAAAUUUUUUCAAAUAAGACGGAUGAUCAAACGCCGGAGACGGAUGAUCAAAAGUUUGCCUUAUU
RNAcentral lists this microRNA precursor (205 nucleotides) under Oryza brachyantha (malo sina). Its description in RNAcentral is "MIR812 microRNA precursor family". It matches the Rfam family "MIR812 microRNA precursor family". The record is from Rfam by way of RNAcentral. Lineage: Eukaryota; Viridiplantae; Streptophyta; Magnoliopsida; Poales; Poaceae.